This 87-nucleotide transfer RNA is filed under the name Motilibacter rhizosphaerae. RNAcentral describes it as "tRNA-Ser". It matches the Rfam family "tRNA". From Rfam's summary of the family: Transfer RNA (tRNA) molecules are approximately 80 nucleotides in length. Their secondary structure includes four short double-helical elements and three loops (D, anti-codon, and T loops). The record is from RNAcentral. Lineage: Bacteria; Bacillati; Actinomycetota; Actinomycetes; Motilibacterales; Motilibacteraceae.
GGAGGGCUGGCAGAGCGGCCGAUUGCGGCGGUCUUGAAAACCGCUAGGGGCGCGAGCUCCUCGGGGGUUCGAAUCCCCCGCCCUCCG